This 253-nucleotide ribosomal RNA is filed under the name uncultured bacterium. Its description in RNAcentral is "partial 16S ribosomal RNA". It matches the Rfam family "Bacterial small subunit ribosomal RNA", at positions 524 to 776 of the family's 1533-position model. The record is from RNAcentral.
UACGGAGGGGGCUAGCGUUGUUCGGAAUUACUGGGCGUAAAGCGCACGUAGGCGGCUUUGUAAGUUAGAGGUGAAAGCCCAGGGCUUAACCCUGGAAUUGCCUUUAAGACUGCAUCGCUAGAAUCGUGGAGAGGUGAGUGGAAUUCCGAGUGUAGAGGUGAAAUUCGUAGAUAUUCGGAAGAACACCAGCGGCGAAGGCGACUCACUGGACACGUAUUGACGCUGAGGUGCGAAAGCGUGGGGAGCAAACAGG